Molecule: ribosomal RNA, 484 nt
Filed under: uncultured bacterium
Lineage: Bacteria
Description: partial 16S ribosomal RNA
Rfam family: Bacterial small subunit ribosomal RNA
Source: RNAcentral
AUUGAACGCUGGCGGCAGGCCUAACACAUGCAAGUCGAGCGGAUGAAGGGAGCUUGCUUCUGGAUUCAGCGGCGGACGGGUGAGUAAUGCCUAGGAAUCUGCCUGGUAGUGGGGGAUACCGUUCGGAAACGGGCGCUAAUACAGCAUACGUCCUGAGGGUGAAAGUGGGGGAUCUUCGGACCUUACGCUAUCAGAUGAGCCUAGGUUGGAUUAGCGAGUUGGUGGGGUAUAGGCCUACCAAGGCGAGGAUCCGUAACUUAUCUGGGAGGAUGAUCAGUGACGCUGGGAGUGGAACACGGGCCAGACUGCGACGGGGGGCAGCAGUAGGGUAUAUUGGGCAGUGGGCGUGAGCCUGUUCCGGCCAUGCCGCAUGUGUUGAGAAGGUCUUCGGGUUGUGAAGCACUUUAAGUAGGGGGGGAGGGCAUUAAGUUAAUACCAAGCUGUUUUGACGUUACCAACAGAAUAAGCACCGGCUAACUUCGUG